CGGUUAAGUUAGAAAGGGCGCACGGUGGAUGCCUUGGCACUAGGAGCCGAUGAAGGACGGGACGAACACCGAUAUGCUUCGGGGAGCUGUAAGCAAGCUUUGAUCCGGAGAUUUCCGAAUGGGGAAACCCACCACUCGUAAUGGAGUGGUAUCCAUAUCUGAAUACAUAGGAUAUGAGAAGGCAGACCCGGGGAACUGAAACAUCUAAGUACCCGGAGGAAGAGAAAGCAAAUGCGAUUCCCUGAGUAGCGGCGAGCGAAACGGGACCAGCCCAAACCAAGAGGCUUGCCUCUUGGGGUUGUAGGACACUCUGUACGGAGUUACAAAGGAACGAGGUAGAUGAAGAGGUCUGGAAAGGCCCGCCAUAGGAGGUAACAGCCCUGUAGUCAAAACUUCGUUCUCUCCUGAGUGGAUCCUGAGUACGGCGGAACACGUGAAAUUCCGUCGGAAUCCGGGAGGACCAUCUCCCAAGGCUAAAUACUCCCUAGUGACCGAUAGUGAACCAGUACCGUGAGGGAAAGGUGAAAAGCACCCCGGAAGGGGAGUGAAAGAGAUCCUGAAACCGUGUGCCUACAAGUAGUCAGAGCCCGUUAACGGGUGAUGGCGUGCCUUUUGUAGAAUGAACCGGCGAGUUACGAUCCCGUGCAAGGUUAAGCAGAAGAUGCGGAGCCGCAGCGAAAGCGAGUCUGAAUAGGGCGAAUUGAGUACGUGGUCGUAGACCCGAAACCAGGUGAUCUACCCAUGUCCAGGGUGAAGUUCAGGUAACACUGAAUGGAGGCCCGAACCCACGCACGUUGAAAAGUGCGGGGAUGAGGUGUGGGUAGGGGUGAAAUGCCAAUCGAACCUGGAGAUAGCUGGUUCUCUCCGAAAUAGCUUUAGGGCUAGCCUCAAGGUAAGAGUCUCGGAGGUAGAGCACUGAUUGGACUAGGGGCCCCUACCGGGUUACCGAAUUCAGUCAAACUCCGAAUGCCGAUGACUUAUCCUUGGGAGUCAGACUGCGAGUGAUAAGAUCCGUAGUCGAAAGGGAAACAGCCCAGACCGCCAGCUAAGGUCCCAAAGUAUACGUUAAGUGGAAAAGGAUGUGGAGUUGCUUAGACAACCAGGAUGUUGGCUUAGAAGCAGCCACCAUUUAAAGAGUGCGUAAUAGCUCACUGGUCGAGUGACUCUGCGCCGAAAAUGUACCGGGGCUAAACGUAUCACCGAAGCUGCGGACUGUUCUUCGAACAGUGGUAGGAGAGCGUUCUAAGGGCUGUGAAGCAAGACCGGAAGGACUUGUGGAGCGCUUAGAAGUGAGAAUGCCGGUAUGAGUAGCGAAAGAGGGGUGAGAAUCCCCUCCACCGAAUGCCUAAGGUUUCCUGAGGAAGGCUCGUCCGCUCAGGGUUAGUCGGGACCUAAGCCGAGGCCGAAAGGCGUAGGCGAUGGAUAACAGGUUGAUAUUCCUGUACCACCUCCUCACCAUUUGAGCAAUGGGGGGACGCAGGAGGAUAGGGUAAGCGCGGUAUUGGAUAUCCGCGUCCAAGCAGUUAGGCUGGGAAAUAGGCAAAUCCGUUUCCCGUGAAGGCUGAGCUGUGAUGGCGAGCGAAUUAUAGUAGCGAAGUUCCUGAUUCCACACUGCCAAGAAAAGCCUCUAGCGAGGUGAGAGGUGCCCGUACCGCAAACCGACACAGGUAGGCGAGGAGAGAAUCCUAAGGUGAUCGAGAGAACUCUCGUUAAGGAACUCGGCAAAAUGACCCCGUAACUUCGGGAGAAGGGGUGCUCUGUUAGGGUGCAAGCCCGAGAGAGCCGCAGUGAAUAGGCCCAGGCGACUGUUUAGCAAAAACACAGGUCUCUGCGAAGCCGUAAGGCGAAGUAUAGGGGCUGACGCCUGCCCGGUGCUGGAAGGUUAAGAGGAGCGCUUAGCGUAAGCGAAGGUGCGAAUUGAAGCCCCAGUAAACGGCGGCCGUAACUAUAACGGUCCUAAGGUAGCGAAAUUCCUUGUCGGGUAAGUUCCGACCCGCACGAAAGGCGCAACGAUCUGGGCACUGUCUCAACGAGAGACUCGGUGAAAUUAUAGUACCUGUGAAGAUGCAGGUUACCCGCGACAGGACGGAAAGACCCCGUGGAGCUUUACUGCAGCCUGAUAUUGAAUGUUGGUACAGCUUGUACAGGAUAGGUAGGAGCCUUGGAAACCGGAGCGCCAGCUUCGGUGGAGGCAUCGGUGGGAUACUACCCUGGCUGUAUUGACCUUCUAACCCGCCGCCCUUAUCGGGCGGGGAGACAGUGUCAGGUGGGCAGUUUGACUGGGGCGGUCGCCUCCUAAAAGGUAACGGAGGCGCCCAAAGGUUCCCUCAGAAUGGUUGGAAAUCAUUCGCAGAGUGUAAAG
RNAcentral lists this ribosomal RNA (2362 nucleotides) under Bacillus velezensis. RNAcentral describes it as "partial 23S ribosomal RNA". It matches the Rfam family "Bacterial large subunit ribosomal RNA", at positions 1 to 2356 of the family's 2925-position model. Lineage: Bacteria; Bacillati; Bacillota; Bacilli; Caryophanales; Bacillaceae. The record is from RNAcentral.